UUUGCCACAAUAACCACUAAGUCAACGCGGGUCAAGGACUUUAAUGAGAUGUUUUGGCGGGCUUCUUAAAUGUUCGCUUCAAGAGACUCGGUUGAGGCGGGCCUUAUCUUGUACGCUUCAAAAUUGAAGGCUGUUGAGGGGGGCAUUGCAUUGUUCGCCCCAACAGCCCACCUCAACAAAAAGCCCACAUAAACUCAAUGCGGAUUAGGGUUUCUUUAUUUCCCGUCCCCAAUUCCUCAUUACCCUUCAAUUCUCUUAGCCGCUUUUCUGCUCUCUCCUUAUCUCAUUGAUCUUUUCUCAUUUCUCCUUUCUUUAUGUUCUGGUUUCAUUCUUUCUUGAAGAAAAUAAGCCAUGGAUUGAUAUCCUAAAUUCCUCUAUACCCUUUAUUCCCUUAGCCGUUUUUAAUGUUAUCUCCUUAUUUCCCAGACUUUUUCUCAUCUUCAUCUCCUUUUUUUCUCUCUUGCGAUUCCAUUCUUUCAUGAAGAAAAUCAGCCACCAAUGGUACUUCCUCCACCCUGCCGUUGUCUCCUCCCCUUCGGUAUUUGCGGUUCAUAAAAUAUGGAGAAAUGGAAGCUUCGAAUCGUCAUCUAUAUUAUCUCGAGAUCUUGAUACUAACAAGGUGUGUAAUGGAUGGUAGAUUAAUUAGUUGGAAGACAGGAAAGCAUAUGUCGUCAAUUUGUUUAGUUUAGAUUUGCUUACAUUACUUUGAUUUAUUUCACUUUGUAAGAUAGUAUUUUGUAUAAUGUAAUAGUAUACAAACUCAUAUCUCUUGUACUCCUUAUUUGAAUAAUAAUAACGAGACGUGUUUAGUAUUUCUA
Molecule: long non-coding RNA, 818 nt
Organism: Spinacia oleracea (spinach)
Lineage: Eukaryota; Viridiplantae; Streptophyta; Magnoliopsida; Caryophyllales; Amaranthaceae
Exons: 2
Source: RefSeq, a predicted model, not a curated record